RNAcentral lists this ribosomal RNA (173 nucleotides) under Tuber sp. A58. Its description in RNAcentral is "5.8S ribosomal RNA". The stretch from base 20 to 173 matches the Rfam family "5.8S ribosomal RNA". From Rfam's summary of the family: 5.8S ribosomal RNA (5.8S rRNA) is a component of the large subunit of the eukaryotic ribosome. It is transcribed by RNA polymerase I as part of the 45S precursor that also contains 18S and 28S rRNA. The record is from RNAcentral. Lineage: Eukaryota; Fungi; Ascomycota; Pezizomycetes; Pezizales; Tuberaceae.
AAUCUUUAAAACAUGUUAAAACUUUCAACAACGGAUCUCUUGGCUCUCGCAUCGAUGAAGAACGCAGCGAAAUGCGAUAAGUAAUGUGAAUUGCAGAAUUCAGUGAAUCAUCGAAUCUUUGAACGCACAUUGCGCCCUUUGGUAUUCCUUAGGGCAUGCCUGUUCGAGCGUCA